UCAAACUCCAUCGUCUCUCAGACUCUCUCUAACGCUCGAAACUCUUGCCGCCAUUAACGUCCUCUCCGACCAAAUCCACCAGCGUCCAUGGCUUCCCAGGUCAUGGACAGCCUGUACCCUCUUCCAUUCACCCCCAAAUCGUGGUCGUUCGAGGUUUUGAGGCUUGAUUUCAACAGAGCCUGUUCAGAUCCUCCACCGAUCUGAGUUCUUAUCGUUUCUCCGGCUCCGUUCCAACAUGUUCAAGCUUUGAAAGGGCCACUCGUGAUCCAGACAUAUUCAUGACAGAUCUUUUCCAAGCCUUCUAGUUCCUAGAGUUUCUGACAAACCCUAAAAAGGGCUUGUUCGAGGUUAUUACUUCCUUUAUUUUCUUAGAUCUGUGAUAGAUCUCUCUUCUACUCGAGUUCUGGAUACUUUUCCCUAUUUUUAUUAUUCUGUUCAAUUUAGGAUUUUCAAAAUCUUUAAAACGACUCUUCUUCUUCUUCUUUCUUUAGGCGAAUCUAUCUGUUCAUGUCAUGUCUUAUGUGUUUUUGCUUGAUUUGUCGUUAAUAUGCAUAUUUCUCUAUCUUUGCUCUGUUAUUGCUUCUGCUGGUUUUUCUACAAGUAUGCUUACAUGUCUACCUUGCAUGUUCUUUUACUAUUUCUCCUACUGAGAUUUGUUUUUUUUUACUGGAUUUGUUUGGGUUUCUGCACUUGUGUUUUUACUGCUUCCUAAGUUCUAUGUCACAUCUCUCCUCUUCUGAACUUAUUUGAGUUCUGAGCUUUCUCUUAACUUGUUCUUUACAAUUUUUCACUCUACUAUUUCUGAUUUGCUAUAUGUAUCUGUGUGCUUUCUCAUGAAACUCUAAAAGAGUUCUCUAAGUUUUGUUGUGAAGGCUUGCCUUAUCCUUUCUGUAUCUACUCGAG
Molecule: long non-coding RNA, 903 nt
Filed under: Nicotiana benthamiana
Lineage: Eukaryota; Viridiplantae; Streptophyta; Magnoliopsida; Solanales; Solanaceae
Description: long non-coding RNA (NBEN_LNC037531)
Source: RNAcentral